AAAAGCAUCAGAUGGAUUAGGGCUGAUGCCACUAAACAUCAAGGUAGUUCAUGAGCUAAAUUAAAACUUGACUGAGUAGACACAAAUUUGCAAACAAGUAGCUAGGCAUUCUAAAUACAGCUCUUCAAACAAGGCUUCACGUCUACACACUAAUGCUCUGGGAAGAAAGAUGGGGCUGCACCUGAUUUCAGAAGUACCAAAGGGUAAACUCUCAGUUACUGAGUUAUGCCUGUUAAUUACUGGCAUAGCUAACAAAGCUAUGUCCCAAGGCCUCUGAUAUAAAAAUCUUGUCCUUAAAUUUAAUAUUUUUCUGAAAGGCUUUCAGAAAACAUACACAUAUAAAUGGAGUCUCGACUAGUUUUCAGUAUCAAUUUUUUUUUUUAUCUACAGAAGCUUCCUAUGUUUCACAAUGAUGAUUGAUUUUGCUAGUGGUUGACAGUACUGUUCAUGACAUUUCCUGUAUUAGUUCCCCUUUGGCACUUGUAUUAGUUCUAUAUUCAAUAAAUGCUACAAAACCAAA
Molecule: long non-coding RNA, 520 nt
Filed under: Homo sapiens (human)
Lineage: Eukaryota; Metazoa; Chordata; Mammalia; Primates; Hominidae
Description: novel transcript, antisense to SOD1
Source: RNAcentral